GGAUCGGUCUCGCAAACGUUAACAGAAGCCUCGCGAUGUUGUACCUCUGGGCUUAGAAACUCUGUGCUGGUACUUAGCUAGCUAGCUACAUUAUUUGAAUGUUUACAUGACUGUUUCUCUGUGUUGGUAACAGAUAAUAAUCAAAAAUGAGCAACGAAGCGGUCUUUGAAACAAUUGAAGAGGUCAAUAAGCAUAUCUCACACGUCGAAGAGUCAACCUGUGUGAAAUAUAUUUCUUAUCGUGUGGACAAGCGCUUCAAUGACCAAGGUUGGAAACCACAGGACCACAAGAACAGGCUAUACUGGGAAUGGAAGUACGGCAAGGGUACUCCCUGUAUCCCCUUUGACGGUGUACCGUUUGUGUUCAUCGGACACAAGCUAAUGGGAUGCCACAGGGGCCGGGCAAAGUGUGGAAUCAAGAAGAGGCAGGAACUUCAGGAUCAAAGGGCAAAAGAUGGCAAGGAAAAAAGAAACCUGUUGCUGAAAACCAAGAAAGUAGCAUGCCCUGCUGUGUUCACAAUCAGCCGCAUUGUGAAGUUCCCUGGAUUCAAGGGUGCAGAUCAGAUGGACGACAGGGUCAAAGGUUACAUCCGAGCGUUGGUGCAGCAGGGGGUGAGGAAGGUGAAGGAGGUAAAGAACCUGAUGGUCCAGUACGUGCGGACGGAGCUGUUCCAAGACACGACCCCGCCGCCGCUGAGGCGCUUCUUCCCCACAGAGAAAACCAUCCAUGCCGUCAUGGCUCAGGUCAUCGCGGAAGAACACUACAGCAAAAUAGACCUGGUCAACCUGCUGACCUUGGCAGAGAAUUGGAAGGCAGAAGCUCCUAGAAUCAACUUCCUGCUUAGGGUUCAAUCAGAGAGCGAGAACCUGUUGCUCUGCUACCAGACGGACUGGCAGCGGCAGUUGCUUCGGCAGUAUGGCAAGGAGGUGUGCUUCCUGGACGCGGCCUAUAAGAGGACACGCUUCCCCCUGCCACUCUUCUUCCUGUGCGUGCGCACCAAUGUGAGCGUGGCGCCGGUGGGCCUGUUUGUCGUGCAGUCGAGGAGCGCCGAAGCCUUGGGGGAGGCGCUGGGGGUGUUCAGGCAGUGGAACCGGGGCUGGAGCCCAGCCUACAUCCUCACUGAACACUGCCCUGUGGAGAUGAAGGCGGUGGAGGCAGCAUUCACAGGUGCUCAGGCAGUCUUCAGCGAUCACCUGCGGGAGAGGACCUGGACCAAGUGGCUGAGCAACCGGUCCCGAGCCAUCACCAACCAGGAGGGGAUCUUUGAUAUGAUGAAGGCCAUCGCUGGUGCCCUUACCAGAGAGCAACACCAGGGGGCAGUAGAACUACUACAGCAGAGCCCCAUCUGGUUGGAAAAGAGACAACUUUUCAAGAACUGGUUCACUAACAAGUGGCUGUCAGAGGAGAAGAGAUGGGCGAACGCUGUGAGGGUUGAUAUUGUCAACUUUGUGUCUAUGGUGAACGGAGGUCUGGAAAUGCAGAGCGACUUUUUCACACAUAAUAACAUGAAGGUCCAUAAAAAAGACACCCUGAGCCAAAUGCUGCAGUUUCUUGUUGACGACUACUUCCCACAGAUGCACCAAAGGUACACAGACCUCAACAGCCAGUCCUCUGGCGAGUACAACCUCAACCCCACUGUGCCUCCGUUCCUGUGGCAUCGACCUUGGAGUGUGGUGGCCCUGGUGAUGGACAACAUGUCUGCGGCCCUGCAAGACCCCGACAUCGUGGUGGAGCAGGCCAGCGACGCCGCCACCGGCACCUUCCGGGUGAAGAGUCGGGCAGAGACCACGGCAGCGCGGUCCUACGCGGUCAGCUUCGGUUCAGAGUCCACCUGGCCCUCCUGUGAGUGUGAGGUGUGGAGGGACCAGCGCCUGCCCUGUGAACACUUCUGUCACGUCUUCAGGUCUGAGCCUAACUGGACCUGGGAGCACCUGUGUCCCAAAUACAGGGACCACCCUCUGCUCACGCUGCAUUCACAGACCACUCACACCACAACAGAGGAGAUGGAGGAAGCCCUCAAUGGCCUAAUGCAUCUCUCCCCAGCUUCCCCAGUCUCUCUUCAGUGGGAUGGGCCUGAAGAAACAGUGCCACUGGUGCAAACUCCUCAAACUCCACAGUUACAACUGCAUAGCAUACAAACACAGUGGGUGGCCCCACAGGCUUCACAGGGUCUGCGGGAGAGGGAGGAACUGCAAAAGGAGGAACUGCAGAGGGAGUGUGUGGCCAAACUCAAAUCCAUCAUGGAGAAUGUGAGCGGGAUCAACGACAUUGACCACCUACAGGAGCUCAGGCAGAAACUGGACGUUCUCCAGGCUCAGAGUGAGGCCGUGCUGGUUCAGAAGGACGCUAGCGUCAAAACAGUUACCACCCCCACGGGGAAGAGAAAAAGGGCAGGGGUGGAGAUUAUCGUGGCCAUGCCCAAACGCAUCAAAGUGCUCUCCCGGGUUGAUAUAGAAAAUGUUCAGAAAUAGCUUUCUUCUAAAGAGUGAGGCCCCCAAAGAGGGAAAAUAAAGUACGGUAUUAAUCAGGUUGUCGCUCUUAUUUCUUGGGUGAUGUACAAAUAACUCUUUGUUAGGAUGUUAUCACCUAUCCAGUUCUAGAAAGUGUUUGGCUGCUUGAUCACAAGGGUCAGCUUGAUGUAAGAUGCUGCGCAUGUUCACAAACCUUUCCAUAACAAAUUAAUAAAUUAGUUAUAUUGCACAGUCCAAACUAUUUAGAAUUUAGCCAAGUAUCUCAACUCCAUGCUGAUUUCUUCUGCGGAGUUGAGUGGAGCCUAGAGUUUUUGGAGUGAACCUCCAACAUUCUUCGAGUCGCUGUAUAAUCGAUACUUCAAAAUUGUAAAUUCUUAAACCCUUACCGUGUAUCUAUUUUUUUUCCUCUCUGGCUUUCUUUGUUUGCUGAAAUCCAUACCUUUUAAAUAAAAAGUUUAUCAAAUACAA
Molecule: long non-coding RNA, 2939 nt
Organism: Oncorhynchus tshawytscha (Chinook salmon)
Lineage: Eukaryota; Metazoa; Chordata; Actinopteri; Salmoniformes; Salmonidae
Source: Ensembl